CCCGGUACAUAGUUGUGUAUUCUUCGUUGUGGGUUCUUCUAGUUGUGGCAUGUGGGACGCUGCCUCAGCGUGGUCUGAUGAGCAGUGUCGUGUCCGCGCCCAGGAUUCGAACCAACGAAACACUGGGCCACCUGCAGCGGAGCGCGCGAACUUAACCACUCGGCCAUGGAGCCAGCCCCCCCAAACCCACUUUUAUAAUCAAUUUUGCCAAUAAGAUAAGCUAUCCCUCUUCUUUUGAGGAGGAGUGGGUAGGGGGUUAAGAGAGGGGCAUAAGUUGCCUUCCUAUUCUCCCAUCCCUACCCUCCAACUAAUAUUAUUGGUAGCAGUUGCUUGUUCAACUUACUCUAAUUUAACCUACAAUAUCAAGAACAUCUGAAUUCAUAACAACUUUUUCAUAGCUAAAACCUUCAUAAUACGCUUUUUUUAUGUCCCCAAAUAUAAUUUUAAAGUAACAAACCUACUAUAAUUUAUUGGAGACUUCCAAAUAGAGCUCUUAGUCUUCAUGUUUUGUUCCUUGCCCCUUUCUCAUUCUGACUUUGCUAUUUCUCAGAUCCUCUCUGAUGUUGAAGCUUGUCUGAAUACCUGCUUCUUGGGACAGUGUGUAACUGGUCUUGUUUCUGCUGGCUUCCUGUUAAAUUUCACUUUCUAGAAAGCCUUAUAUAUUUCUGUAAGCCUCUCAACAUUGAAGGGGAUUUGACUCAUUGAUUGAUGGUUAAUUAGGUCCUUUGAAGGGAAGCUAUCCUCUAGAGCCUGAAGGUGAAGAGAGGGAAUUCUUUGGAUUCCACAUUGCUCUAUUUCUGGAUACUGGAAGAGUGGAAGUAUCUGGAUCUUGCUCAGAGGGAGCUUUGUAGGGAUGUGCUGCCUGAGAAUUACGGGAACAUAGUUUCUCUGGGGUUCAUCUUGGUCCGUGGCCUCAGGUGGUAGAAUUCUCUGUCCUGGAGCUUCAGCUCAGUCCUGACAUCAGAAGGCCAUACCAGAGAGUAAGAGUGGAUGGGCUGGGC
RNAcentral lists this long non-coding RNA (1001 nucleotides) under Equus caballus (horse). RNAcentral's name for it is "lncRNA (ENSECAG00000059964.1)". Lineage: Eukaryota; Metazoa; Chordata; Mammalia; Perissodactyla; Equidae. The record is from RNAcentral.